GGUUUAAUAUGAUGAAACAAAGAUUCCCCUAUUGAAUCUGUUAAAUAGCAGUUGAAAACAGAAAUCUUCGCUCAAAUUUCUGAUGAACCAUUAAAACUAUUAAAGA
RNAcentral lists this small RNA (106 nucleotides) under Cryptosporidium parvum. The record is from RNAcentral. Lineage: Eukaryota; Apicomplexa; Conoidasida; Eucoccidiorida; Cryptosporidiidae.